This is a non-coding RNA of Rattus norvegicus (Norway rat), 69 nucleotides long. Lineage: Eukaryota; Metazoa; Chordata; Mammalia; Rodentia; Muridae. The record is from Rfam.
GGGGAUUUAGCUCAGUGGUAGAGCGCUUGUCUAGCAAGCACAAGGCCCUGGGUUCAGUCCCCAGCUCCG